GAGACCCCUUGGACUCAGCUCAGGGCUGAUUUUUGAGUAGGAUCUGUUCCCCACACCCCUGCCCCACCACUUGAAGGCUGAUCUCUUAGAGGCAAUUGCCAGAAAGCUUUGAAAGGGGCUCAAAUCCUGCUGCUUUUGUUCAGGCAGGAUUUUGAAGUCAUCCUUCUGCUUUUUGUUCAUGCACACCAGGGACAAACCUGUGCAGGAACGAGCCCUGCACCGCUAGCCUGGUUUGGAAGUGGUGGUCUCAGGACGGAGCAUCUUUCUGGAUUGCUGCUUUGCAGGGGUGUACUGAGGAGUUUUCCAGAGGCCACAGAAUGCAUGCUAUCACAACAGACAGAAAACAGAAGCAAAGAGGAGAAUCCAGAUGUCUUCUAUUAAGCCAGGCAUUAAAGAGACUUGCAGAAAUGUG
RNAcentral lists this long non-coding RNA (412 nucleotides) under Homo sapiens (human). RNAcentral's name for it is "HSALNT0384515". The record is from RNAcentral. Lineage: Eukaryota; Metazoa; Chordata; Mammalia; Primates; Hominidae.